Molecule: ribosomal RNA, 293 nt
Filed under: uncultured bacterium
Lineage: Bacteria
Description: partial 16S ribosomal RNA
Source: RNAcentral
UUGUUACGACUUCACCCCAGUCAUGAAUCCCACCGUGGUAAGCGGCCUCCUUACGGUUAGCCUACCUACUUCUGGUGAAACCCACUCCCAUGGUGUGACGGGCGGUGUGUACAAGGCCCGGGAACGUAUUCACCGCGGCAUGCUGAUCCGCGAUUACUAGCGAUUCCGACUUCAUGCACUCGAGUUGCAGAGUGCAAUCCGGACUACGAUCGGUUUUGUGAGAUUGGCACCCCCUCGCGGGUUAGCGACCCUCUGUACCGACCAUUGUAUGACGUGUGAAGCCCUGGUCAUAA